AGGGAGUCGAGUCAGUGUAUGAAAUCAGCUGAUCCAACGGGAGGAAACCCGGAAGUGAACUUUAUUCAAACAGCGGAGCCGGAGACUCAUUCUCUCGAGAGUUAAUUGUACAUUGUCUACUAGCUGGGACAUGAUCUUUCUCAUAACAACAGGUUAGAUUGGACACAGGAAAAAUUGCUCCUUCUAAAUCUAAGACUAAGUUCUAAAUUUUAGCAAUUUCAUGAUUUUUUUUAGGUCCGGCACGUUGGUGUGGAACUACUCUACUCUUUCUAGGUCAUCCAUAACAGCAGCAUAAUACUGCAUGAUGAAUGUUGAACAUGAGGUGGAACUUCUUGUUGAGGAGAUGAAGCGUUUAGGGCAACCAAAUGCUGAUGGAAAGAUCGUUGUCAAGUUUGGAGUCCUUUUUGCUGAUGAUCGAUGUGCCAACCUUUUUGAGGCUCUUGUUGGAACCCUGAAAGCUGCCAAGAGGAAGAAGAUAGUGCACUACAGUGGGGAGCUUCUACUACAAGGCGUGCAUGAUGAUGUUGAUGUAGUAUUACAGUGAACAUAUAAUUUUAUUAUCCUUUCUAAUUUUUUUUCCUGUUCCAUACCAUGUGCUCUAGCAAACACAGCACAACAAAAUGAAUGUACAUGUACUUUACAUGGCCAUGAGUUUAGAACUCGCCACAUAAAUAAGGUGAAUUUGUAACACCUUUUCAAACU
Molecule: long non-coding RNA, 702 nt
Organism: Lytechinus variegatus (green sea urchin)
Lineage: Eukaryota; Metazoa; Echinodermata; Echinoidea; Temnopleuroida; Toxopneustidae
Exons: 3
Source: RefSeq, a predicted model, not a curated record